CCAUCUACUUAACCAAACCCUCCUAUGAAGACGUCAUCAAAACUUCUGGUCAUGUUACCUGUUUAGUUUUGGGUUAUGACUUAGCAGCCAGCAGAAUCGCAUGGAAAGUGGAUGGGCAAGUCAGCUCUGCGGCGAAGACAGAACCCCCCCAAAAAACAACAAUGGGACCACCAGCCUGGUCGGUUCUCACCCUGUGUCACUGGCCCAAUGGGGACAAGGCACCAUAUUUACCUGCAAAGUGACCACACCCUGUUCUGGAGAACUAACCCAGGACAUAAGCAUGAGCAAUACAGGCAUCAGUGAGAAGGAGCCCUCAGUCACUGUCUCCCAAGCCUACCACAAAGACAUCUCCGGGAACAGAGUCUCCUUGACUCUCAUCUGCGAAGCUAGUGGCUUUUACCCUGAAGAGAUCAGCAUGUCAUGGUUGAAGAAUAACUCCCCGGAACUCAAGUCCAGUUACAACCAUGGCCCCGUGUCAGGAAGUGGCACUUUCUCUGCCUACAGCAUCCUGAAGGUUGAGCAAAGUCAAGGAGAAGGAAAUUACACCUGCGUGGUGCAUCACCCAGCCAUGGAAGAGCCCAAGAGGUUGUGCAAAAGGUGUCCCUCGGUGUCAGCAACUGUAAUCGACACCCUCUGGAGGUCUCUCUCCUUCCCCCUUCCCUGGAGGACCUCUACAUAGGGCAGAACGCCACCAUCAGUUGUUUGGUGAGUGGCAUGGAAACCUCCGGCAGCCUGGAGG
Non-coding RNA from Chelonia mydas (Green sea turtle), 739 nucleotides. NCBI's taxonomy places the organism in Eukaryota, Metazoa, Chordata, Testudines, Cheloniidae. The record is from the annotation of a RefSeq genome assembly.